Molecule: ribosomal RNA, 274 nt
Filed under: uncultured bacterium
Lineage: Bacteria
Description: partial 16S ribosomal RNA
Rfam family: Bacterial small subunit ribosomal RNA
Source: RNAcentral
AUACGGAGGGUGCAAGCGUUGUUCGGAAUUACUGGGCGUAAAGCGCGUGUAGGCGGCUUGGCAAGUCGGAUGUGAAAGCCCGGGGCUCAACCCCGGAACUGCAUCCGAAACUGCCUCGCUAGAGUCCCGGAGAGGAAGGCAGAAUUCCCAGUGUAGGGGUGAAAUCCGUAGAUAUUGGGAGGAAUACCAGUGGCGAAGGCGGCCUUCUGGACGGUGACUGACGCUCAGACGCGAAAGCGUGGGGAGCAAACAGGAUUAGAAACCCCAGUAGUCC